Molecule: transfer RNA, 88 nt
Filed under: Candidatus Woesearchaeota archaeon
Lineage: Archaea; Nanobdellati; Candidatus Woesearchaeota
Description: tRNA-Leu
Rfam family: tRNA
About the family: Transfer RNA (tRNA) molecules are approximately 80 nucleotides in length.
Source: RNAcentral
GCGAGGGUACCAGAGCCUGGUCAAAUGGGCAGGACUUAAGAUCCUGUGGCUUAGGCCUCCGUAGGUUCAAAUCCUACCCCUCGCACCA